This 1373-nucleotide ribosomal RNA is filed under the name Clostridium sp. JPL_22. RNAcentral's name for it is "16S ribosomal RNA". It matches the Rfam family "Bacterial small subunit ribosomal RNA", at positions 44 to 1414 of the family's 1533-position model. Lineage: Bacteria; Bacillati; Bacillota; Clostridia; Eubacteriales; Clostridiaceae. The record is from RNAcentral.
GUGCUUAACACAUGCAAGUCGAGCGAAGCGAUUCUAAGGAAGCCUUCGGGUGGAAUUAAAAUUGACUGAGCGGCGGACGGGUGAGUAACGCGUGGGUAACCUGCCUCAUACAGGGGGAUAACAGUUAGAAAUGACUGCUAAUACCGCAUAAGCGCACAGUGCUGCAUAGCACAGUGUGAAAAACUCCGGUGGUAUGAGAUGGACCCGCGUCUGAUUAGGUAGUUGGUAGGGUAACGGCCUACCAAGCUGACGAUCAGUAGCCGACCUGAGAGGGUGACCGGCCACAUUGGGAUUGAGACACGGCCCAAACUCCUACGGGAGGCAGCAGUGGGGAAUAUUGGACAAUGGGGGAAACCCUGAUCCAGCGACGCCGCGUGAGUGAAGAAGUAUUUCGGUAUGUAAAGCUCUAUCAGCAGGGAAGAAAAUGACGGUACCUGACUAAGAAGCCCCGGCUAACUACGUGCCAGCAGCCGCGGUAAUACGUAGGGGGCAAGCGUUAUCCGGAUUUACUGGGUGUAAAGGGAGCGUAGACGGCGAUGCAAGUCUGGAGUGAAAGCCCGGGGCUCAACCCCGGGACUGCUUUGGAAACUGUGUUGCUAGAGUGCAGGAUGAGGUAAGUGGAAUUCCUAGUGUAGCGGUGAAAUGCGUAGAUAUUAGGAGGAACACCAGUGGCGAAGGCGGCUUACUGGAUCUGUAACUGACGUUGNNGGCUCGAAAGCGUGGNGAGCNAACAGGAUUAGAUACCCUGGUAGUCCNCGCCGUAAACGAUGAAUACNUAGGUGUUGGGGAGCAAAGCUCUUCGGUGCGGCCGCUAACGCACUAAGUAUUCCACCCGGGGAGUACGUUCUCACGAAUGAAACUCAAAGGAAUUGACGGGGACCCGCACAAGCGGUGGAGCAUGUGGUUUAAUUUGAAGCAACGCGAAGAACCUUACCAAGUCUUGACAUCGGAAUGACCGGUCUGUAACGGGGCCUUCCCUUCGGGGCAUUCCAGACAGGUGGUGCAUGGUUGUCGUCAGCUCGUGUCGUGAGAUGUUGGGUUAAGUCCCGCACCGAGCGCACCCCUUAUCCUUAGUAGCCAGCAGUUCGGCUGGGCACUCUGGGGAGACUGCCAGGGAUAACCUGGAGGAAGGUGGGGAUGACGUCAAAUCAUCAUGCCCCUUAUGAUGUGGGCUACACACGUGCUACAAUGGCGUAAACAAAGGGAAGCAAAGCCGCGAGGUGGAGCAAAUCCCAAAAAUAACGUCUCAGUUCGGAUUGUAGUCUGCAACUCGACUACAUGAAGCUGGAAUCGCUAGUAAUCGCAGAUCAGAAUGCUGCGGUGAAUACGUUCCCGGGUCUUGUACACACCGCCCGUCACACCAUGGGAGUUGG